RNAcentral lists this ribosomal RNA (253 nucleotides) under uncultured microorganism. RNAcentral describes it as "partial small subunit ribosomal RNA". It matches the Rfam family "Bacterial small subunit ribosomal RNA", at positions 524 to 776 of the family's 1533-position model. The record is from RNAcentral.
UACGGAGGGUGCAAGCGUUGUCCGGAAUCAUUGGGCGUAAAGCGUUCGUAGGCGGCAUAUCAAGUCUGGUGUCAAAGCCUGGGGCUCAACCCCAGUUAGGCACUGGAUACUGGUAGGCUAGAAUGUGGUAGAGGUAAAGGGAAUUCCUGGUGUAGCGGUGAAAUGCGUAGAUAUCAGGAGGAACACCGGUGGCGUAAGCGCUUUACUGGGCCAUAAUUGACGCUGAGGAACGAAAGCCGGGGGAGCAAAUGGG